ACUCCUACGGGAGGCAGCAGUGGGGAAUAUUGGACAAUGGGGGGAACCCUGAUCCAGCCAUGCCGCGUGUGUGAAGAAGGCCUUAUGGUUGUAAAAGCACUUUAAGCGAGGAGGAGGCUACUGAGACUAAUACUCUUGGAUAGUGGACGUUACUCGCAGAAUAAGCACCGGCUAACUCUGUGCCAGCAGCCGCGGUAAUACAGAGGGUGCGAGCGUUAAUCGGUAUUUACUGGGCGUAAAGCGUGCGUAGGCGGCUUUUAAGUCGGAUGUGAAAUCCCCGAGCUUAACUUGGGAAUUGCAUUCGAUACUGGGGAAGCUAGAGUAUGGAGAGGAUGGUAGAAUUCCAGGUGUAGCGGUGAAAUGCGUAGAGAUCUGGAGGAAUACCGAUGGCGAAGGCAGCCAUCUGGCCUAAUACUGACGCUGAGGUACGAAAGCAUGGGAGCAAACAGGAUUAGAUACCCCUGGUAGCGACUGA
Molecule: ribosomal RNA, 475 nt
Filed under: uncultured bacterium
Lineage: Bacteria
Description: bacterial SSU rRNA
Rfam family: Bacterial small subunit ribosomal RNA
Source: RNAcentral